Orcinus orca (killer whale) is the source of this 369-nucleotide long non-coding RNA. RefSeq lists it as uncharacterized. The record is from RefSeq and is a predicted model, not a curated record. The transcript has 2 exons. NCBI's taxonomy places the organism in Eukaryota, Metazoa, Chordata, Mammalia, Artiodactyla, Delphinidae.
GGUGGGAAUGUAAAUUGAUACAGCCACUAUGGAGAACAGUAUGGAGGUUCCUUAAAAAACUACAAAUAGAACUACCAUACGACCUAGCAAUCCCACUACUGGGCAUAUACCCUGAGAAAACCAUAAUUCAAAAGGAGUCAUGUACCAAAAUGUUCAUUGCAGCUCUAUUUACAAUAGCCAGGACAUGGAAGCAACCUAAGUGUCCAUCAUUGGAUGAAUGGAUAAAGAAGAUGUGGCACAUAUAUACAAUGGAAUAUUACUCAGCCAUAAAAAUAAACGAAAUUGAGCUAUUUGUAAUGAGGUGGAUAGACCUAGAGUCUGUCAUACAGAGUGAAGUAAGUCAGAAAGAGAAAGACAAAUAUCGUAUGC